AGCGAACGCUGGCGGCAGGCUUAACACAUGCAAGUCGAGCGGGCGUAGCAAUACGUCAGCGGCAGACGGGUGAGUAACGCGUGGGAACAUACCUUUUGGUUCGGAACAACACAGGGAAACUUGUGCUAAUACCGGAUAAGCCCUUACGGGGAAAGAUUUAUCGCCGAAAGAUUGGCCCGCGUCUGAUUAGCUAGUUGGUGGGGUAAAGGCCUACCAAGGCGACGAUCGUUAGCUGGUCNGAGAGGAUGAUCAGCCACAUUGGGACUGAGACACGGCCCAAACUCCUACGGGAGGCAGCAGUGGGGAAUAUUGGACAAUGGGCGCAAGCCUGAUCCAGCAAUGCCGCGUGUGUAAAGAAGGUCUUCGGAUUGU
RNAcentral lists this ribosomal RNA (372 nucleotides) under uncultured bacterium. RNAcentral describes it as "bacterial SSU rRNA". It matches the Rfam family "Bacterial small subunit ribosomal RNA", at positions 29 to 426 of the family's 1533-position model. The record is from RNAcentral.